This is a long non-coding RNA of Quercus robur (English oak), 852 nucleotides long. RefSeq lists it as uncharacterized. Lineage: Eukaryota; Viridiplantae; Streptophyta; Magnoliopsida; Fagales; Fagaceae. The record is from RefSeq and is a predicted model, not a curated record. The transcript has 5 exons.
UGAAGGUUUGGACUCCAUGGCCCAGAAACCCUUUCCCGCCAAAGCCUACCAACCAUUUUUCUAAUGUUCAUUGAUUCUGUCUCGUUCUUCAUCUCUCUCAUUCUGCCACUCUUUCAAAAAGUAGUAGUAACUCUGUAACUGACUAGACCUCUCUCUCUGAACUACUCAGACUCUCUGUGCUAAGCUACGGAAAUAUUUUAUUUCCAAAGUCGAAAGUUCAUUGCUUUUUUGAUUGAAUUUUUUGGAUGCUUAUGAUUUUUAUCAUACUUGGUGCUUUACUUGCAGUGCAGUGCUGUGCUGGGUCACUAGGAUUUUUGGGUAUUGGGACAUCAAUGGCGGAACAGAAGGACGCUUUUUAUGUUGUACGGAAAGGGAAUAUUGUUGGCAUUUUACAAGAGUUUGAGUGAUUGCCAAGCUCAAUCCGGGUCUUCUGUGCGGUGUGGAAUCCUUCCAUAAGUGUGUACAAAGGAUAUUACUUGUCUAAGGAUGCUGAGGAGCACCUUGCCUCGCAUGGGCUUAAGAAUGCUACUUAUUCUGUUGGCGCUGCUGAUGUGACAGAUGAUAUUGUGAAAGCACAUCAUUAUUAUGAAAGUUUUGAAUCGUUCUUCCACAUUUUGAUCAACCAGCUUCUUUCGGAGUAAAAGCAGCUGACAAGGAUUUUCCCACAAAGAGAUUACAAGGAGUGCUUGAUUCGGACAGUGUUGAGGUGUCUGGAUCAACUUCAUUUUCAACAAAUCCUCAGAAGAAACAGUUCAAGUCAGACUAUAGCAAUCAAGCUGAAGUAAUUUCUUCUCUCAGUGCUGUUGAUCACUCAGAUCCCUCAAGUCCGGUUUUAGCACUGUUAUAGAGAAG